GUGGUUAUAAAUUAAAAGGUAAACCUUCUGUUUUAUGAACUGAAUAUGUCAGUUCAAGUCUGACUAGCCGCG
This 72-nucleotide transfer RNA is filed under the name Ophiocordyceps sinensis. RNAcentral's name for it is "tRNA-Ile". It matches the Rfam family "tRNA". From Rfam's summary of the family: Transfer RNA (tRNA) molecules are approximately 80 nucleotides in length. The record is from RNAcentral. Lineage: Eukaryota; Fungi; Ascomycota; Sordariomycetes; Hypocreales; Ophiocordycipitaceae. RNAcentral also lists the same sequence under 1 other name.